CCCGCACUCGCGUGCCGAGCUCCUCCCAUUCCCUAACCCUAUCUGCUCCCCACGCCGCCGCCGUCUCGUUCCCCCAGCCUGCCGGAUCCCCGCCGUCCACUUCCCCGGUGUCGUCGCCGUCGUUCUUGCGUGCACACGGCAGGAGGGGCGUGGGCGUCGCCGUCGCGACCGUCGUCCCUUCUCGCCGCCGCCUCCUUCCUUUCCUCCAUCCCCGCCCCUGCCGCGAGCACCUCUUCCCCAUGCCAUCGGCCUCCUCCUCUGUCGUGUCUCUCCUCGUUGGUCGUCACCUCAGAUCAUGAAGGAGUUCCAGCCAGAGAAAAGGAGAAGAAGGGGAUGGAUGAGCAAGGAGCAGAAGGACCUGAAGAAGACGGGAAGGGAGAUGGGCCGAUAUGCAUGUCCAUGGAGGAACCAGCAGCAGCCUCCAGUAGGACCAGCCGGGACGAGGGCGGGGAUGGAGAAUGCUGCAUCCAUCUCGCGGAUCUGGGCCAUGGCACCCGUAGUGGUGCUUCCAAAACCGAGCCGUUGUCAAGUGCUUCUUCGACUUAGAAGAUAAGACUAAAAAUCAUGUGUCUUCGUUUAUAUAGAAUCUUAGGUGUUUCAUGAUAAUUCACAAGAUUCUCUUAAUGAACAUUCUGAGUAUAGUUUCUUAAACAAUCUGGUUGAAAAAAACUGGGACAAAACAUGUGUAGUUAAAUCUGAAUGCAUAUAUUAUUUCGAGGUAAAUUUCUAUGCAUAUACCGGCUCUUAAGGAGUAUUACAUGAUUUUUAUUUUCUCAAUUGGAUGGAAGUGUUGGUUCUUUCCAAGUCUUUGGAAUAACAAUUGUACAACACCAUCUGGACUAUCUUUCUAUGGUGGUUUCACAAUCCUUUGAUGUUCGGUUUACUGCACGAGUCACUAAGGGAUUGCUGUUAAUUUGCCUCACGGUUCUGUUGCUAGGUACAAUUCUUUUAUUAGGUUCUGCAUAAUAUUUGGUCAACAUUUGCUAGGUACGAAAAAACAUCACUCGCCGCUCCUGGUCCAUCUAAUUGCUGGUGACAUCACAUUAGUUAGCACACAUUUCUGAUGUGCCUAUAAAUCUGUACCAUCCAUGUACAAAUGAUUUAUCUUUUAUUGUCUUCCCUUGUUAUUAUUUUUGGUUCAAGAAGUAGCUCUUAAAAUUCAGUUCAGCUCUUUUCUCAUAUUCCAUUUUGUAGAAUACAUUUUAUUUAGAAUUAAUAGUGGGUAUAAUGUACAAGUGCUCCGCAUCCAUCCAGCAAGUACUGCCUUUGCAUAGCUAUGCAACCUUUAGGAAUUAUAGUUGGUGCCGCAGAGUCAACCAGGAGGUUCAGGACACAUAUAUUACGCUAUUAGUGAUGAACGGAAAUCAAGGAGAACUCCCACGCACGCUCCUGAAUUUACUUCUGUCUGUUCGUCAUUUCUGGUUCUUUCUUUCAGCCAAAAUCCACACCCUUGAUGAGAUUUGAGUAGGAAGUGAAUUAUAGAUUGGUAAGUUUUUCUCAUAAAUUAAAUCAUGUUUUAGUAAGGUAGAAAAUAUAAUAUCUAGAAUUCAAUCUUCAUUUAUGUUGAGCAAUAGUGGCAAAAUCAAUGGAGUGGAAAUAUCUUUGAGAAGUGAUAACACAUAUGCAGUGUAUGGCAUGGAUGUACAGUGAGCUAUCUACAGUACUUGCCUGAGUUACUUUCUGCAGAUGAGCCUUAACUUUAGGAUCAUGUUAAGCUUGUUAGGGAGUGACAGCGAGAAGUGCUCUCCUUUAUCAUUGUUUGCUCUGGACCAUGUGAUCAGCGGUUUCAUGUUUGGUGUUUAUAUAUUAAAUAAAAUAUACUAUCAUACCUUUAGAUUCGCCUUUCCUUGGUCUUGUCUUCAUAUAUUUUGAUAUUUUUUACUUCAGCCUGCAAAAGCUUGUGUAAAUUAUCAUCUUGCAACUAUCUCCAUAAUUAAGCAUUGUUUACUGAUCCAUGUCUCUCUCCAGAAGAUGUUUGCACCUUUGUUGGGUGGUGAGGCUGCCAAGCAGCCAAGUGGUGGGUUUUCUAUUUACUACAUCUGAGGCUAAUCAAGUCGGUGCGACACCAGGUACUGCAGGUCCUUGCAGUGGCACAAUCGGUACAAGUCGAUUUCGUCACUACAAGUUACUUAUAUAAGUAUCUGUAUAUGGUAGCCAUAUAGAUCUGAACUAUGUGAAUCAUUUCUUGCUUACAUGUGUGGGUUUAGUUUUUCCUGUUGAUUAGAUGAGGGAAUUCAUGCUUUUGCUUUUGUUGACAAAGCGCAACUCAGACCAUUUUGGGAUAUUGAUUUUGUGGUUUCUGUAAGGUGGUCAGCUAACAAUAAUUUAUACUGAUGAUGGCAUCUACAUAUUUUGUCCUAACACUUGAUUUUGUUCUAUGUUAACAUAUGUAAAAUGCUUCAGUUUGUAUGUGUCUAAAGAGACCUCUACACCUAAUAUGUGUCUUCCCUCUUACUUUAUUUUUACUUUUUGUUCUCCAGAUAUAUAGCCACUGAAGGGCUAGGCCGAUGUUGUCAUCAUACUCUUAGAUUAGCUCAAGUUUUGAUUUCUUAUGGAAUGCAGAUCUUCUAAUCUCUGUAGAGGGCUAACAAAAUGACUCGUGCUUCAAGUACCAAGAUCAUUUCUUGCUUGAUAAUAAGGCAGAAUGGUAGUUUUGGUAGUUGUGAGAAACUUGAUGAGGUACAGUGCAGAAUGACACACAUCCAGUUUUGGUAGUUGUGAGAAACUUGAUUUGUCUGAGAUAGCAAUUAGGGAGGGAUAAUUUACUUCUAUAUAGUAUGGAUCAUGUUUAGUAUUUUUCUUCUAAGAAUCUUCAUUUUUUAUCCUAUUAUAUACCAAAUUUGGCUUUAGGUAACUGCCUGAGGUAGUUUCCAUUUCUCUUUCUAUGUGUGAUUCUUGCUAUAAUAGCUCAAUUUCUCUUUUCUUUUAUAAUUUCUUUAAUUCUACAUUUAGUUUUACCUUCUGUCAUUUAAAUUGUGUUCUGAUAUUUUCUAGGCGCCCAUGGGUUACAAUGACUCGGACCAAUGUUUUUCUUUACUACACUUUACGUUUGUAAUUGCAACAAAGUAAGUCUUGUAGGCUUAGAGAGAAAUCUUCUGGAUUUUUAGACCACAUAUUUAUUUUCUUUCUCAACAAUAUUCAUGGUGUACCACGUAGUAAUUUUGAUUUUUCAUUCGACUGUUAACUCUUUACAAGAUCUACAAGUUGCACACAAUUCAUGUUUUCUGUUUGGUCUUGCCAAUUCUCCCAUGUUUGUUCUAAAGAGCUUUUGAUGUUGUAUCUAUACUCAUGCUUAAUCUAGCAGGUGAAACUGUACAGCCUGAUGCACCACAGCCAUCAAAGGAAAUUGUUCACAACAUCUACUUCUAGAGCGGUGAGUUCACAGUAGACGACGGUCCACUUAGAAGUUUCAACGACCCAGAGCAUGCAUCCUUUUGGAGGUAAGAAGAACUCUGAUGUGUGCAACUGAGUGUAUAUGCACUACUGGUUGUUAUGUCUGUGAAUUGAUAUAUGAUUUUUCUAUUUCUUUUACUUUUAUAAUGCUUUAACCUUUUGCCGUUACAUGUUGAUGAUUAUGUGUGCAAUAUAGCGUAAUAAUGGUUCAUCUUUAUACUCAUGAAGAUCUGAGUUGGUAGCGGUCCAUUCACCGCUCAAAAGUUAUUAGGAAUCAUCAAAAGUGUCAACCAUUUUAUGGAGGAUGUACAUAUACUUUAUACGACUAAUGUAUGUUUUGAGAUAAUGUUUAUUAAUUUCUUACAAAUUCGUGGAUUAUAUGGCACAAGGAUUUAAACAACUAACAAUAUAUAGCAAAAAUAUAUAUAUCUGUACCAGCGCAUUAGCAUUUAGCUAAUUGAAAUAAUGUCUGGCUGACCUCUUUCCCUGUUGUUAGACGUAACAUUUUUUAGCUGGUACUUAAGAAACUAACUCAUUUGCUUC
This is a long non-coding RNA of Triticum dicoccoides, 3936 nucleotides long. RefSeq lists it as uncharacterized. The record is from RefSeq and is a predicted model, not a curated record. Lineage: Eukaryota; Viridiplantae; Streptophyta; Magnoliopsida; Poales; Poaceae. The transcript is spliced from 4 exons.